This 28-nucleotide non-coding RNA is filed under the name Homo sapiens (human). The record is from RNAcentral. Lineage: Eukaryota; Metazoa; Chordata; Mammalia; Primates; Hominidae.
UGAAAUGGUUGUUUGGUGAUGACACUGG